CUACGGGUGGCUGCAGUGGGGAAUAUUGCACAAUGGGCGCAAGCCUGAUGCAGCCAUGCCGCGUGUAUGAAGAAGGCCUUCGGGUUGUAAAGUACUUUCAGCGGGGAGGAAGGGAGUAAAGUUAAUACCUUUGCUCAUUGACGUUACCCGCAGAAGAAGCACCGGCUAACUCCGUGCCAGCAGCCGCGGUAAUACGGAGGGUGCAAGCGUUAAUCGGAAUUACUGGGCGUAAAGCGCACGCAGGCGGUUUGUGAAGUCAGAUGUGAAAUCCCCGGGCUCAACCUGGGAACUGCAUCUGAUACUGGCGAGCUUGAGUCUCGUAGAGGGGGGUAGAAUUCCAGGUGUAGCGGUGAAAUGCGUAGAGAUCUGGAGGAAUACCGGUGGCGAAGGCGGCCCCCUGGACGAAGACUGACGCUCAGGUGCGAAAGCGUGGGGAGCAAACAGGAUUAGAUACCCGGGUAGUC
This 464-nucleotide ribosomal RNA is filed under the name uncultured bacterium. Its description in RNAcentral is "partial 16S ribosomal RNA". It matches the Rfam family "Bacterial small subunit ribosomal RNA", at positions 339 to 795 of the family's 1533-position model. The record is from RNAcentral.